Molecule: long non-coding RNA, 2475 nt
Organism: Onychomys torridus (southern grasshopper mouse)
Lineage: Eukaryota; Metazoa; Chordata; Mammalia; Rodentia; Cricetidae
Exons: 3
Source: RefSeq, a predicted model, not a curated record
UCCUGACUGGGCCAGGCAGGAAAACUCUAGCUACAGUGUGUUAUAGUAAUGGAAAUAAUAUAGAAAGUUUAAGAUUUUCAGUGCUGAAGUUCAGUUUCAAGAUAUUUCAGUACAACUGCUCAGUCUUUAGGGGAAAGAGAGAAUUGUUUCAGCAACUCCAAACUGGUCAAAAUGCAUUUAAAUGGUAGACCGCCAGUAGGGAUGAGUAGGGAGUAUUUGAAAGAACAUGAAGGACAAGUGAAAAGAAAAACAGGUUUGGGGGUUUGCUUUGAUUACCUAGCUGUUGUGUGGCUAGGGAAGUUUAAUAUCCCACACCAAAGGGCACUCAUUUAAUCUUGGAGGGAUGUUGUAAGAAGUAAAAUGGUGGGAUGGUAUUUGAAAAUACUCUAAUACCUUUUCCUAACUGUGCAAUGUUUUCUGGCAGAAAGGAUUCAGUUUGGAGGUAGUGCCUAGAGCUGAAAGGUGGAGACGAAGAAUGAGAGAGAGCAGUCCUUCCUGCUCCACAAGUAGUAAGAACUGUACUGAAGACUCCCUCCCCCAAGUACAAAAUGAGGAGGGAAGAAAAUAGACUAAAAAUGACUGAACAAGGAGACCGAUCCUGAUUUGGGAAAAGUAAACCUGACUCUAGCAGUCUGUGAGAUCCAUGCAUGGCUCCCAUCCUACUAAAGCAAUUGCAUCUCAGCCAUAGUACAAAAGAAUUAUCCUGACUGACAUAUGGUAUUUGAAAUAUUUUGUCUGUUGUUGUUGUUGUUGUUGUUGUUGUUGUUCAAUUGUUUGCUGAAACAUGAGUCUCGAGUUCAGAAAAGUUGUCUUAAAGUCAGGAGUGCACUUGUUGUGGACAUUGGCUGAUAAAUGUAAUGAUUUGUGUCUCUGGCUUUGGCAAAACCUAAGUACAAGACAUCUCUCCACAAUACUGACUCAAUUAAAAUUUUUUUUCUUUCUGGGUGUGAUUCGUAUUGCAGAGGCAAAUCAAGAAACAUUGACAACUUGGUUAAAUCUUGCUCUUUGUCCUAUUUAUAUUAUUUAUUGUGCUAGUGGUUCUGAGGUGGUGGCUCCUGCACCUCCUCACCCAUGAACACGUCCCAGAUGUGCUGAAAAUUCCCCAUUAAUUUGUGUAUUUCAUUCCAUUCUUUUGUAAUUAAGUGCAUAUGGUUCUGACUAGAAUAAAAAAAAAAAAAAACUAUUUAAUCCCAGAGGGUUUUUUUGUCCUUGUGAAUAAUUGAUUCAUGUCUUUCUCAACUCCACCCCUGUUAUUCAAAUAAAUAUUAUGAAAGAAAUCUCUACUUUGUAAAUUUUGCUCAUCCAGACACGACAAAGGACAAUCCAUUACUCUCAAGAUUUCUUCAGGAUCUGUGAACCAUUCAGUCUCUUAAAAAAAUUACCUCAUUGAGAGUCAUAUGAUCCUAGAAGAGGUUGCAUUACUGAUUUUCAAAACUGGAACUUAGCCUUAAAGCAGAAAGCAGCAAUCUCCCUAGUGGUAUUUACCUAGAGAGGUCCUAUCUGCUAUUACUGGAUUUCAGAACUAGAAGCCAAGGCCCUGCCACCUAGCUUGUGGAAUAGGAGAGAAGUUUAGAUCCUCUUACUGUAUGGGUAUCUAUGAUCAGGUAAGUUUGUUAAUUACAAUUCACUGAUUCUUCUUUUUAUGAAAUACAGUUCACUGUCUCUGAGGAGAUUGUUUGGAGCUACGGUUGGGGUAUACAUGUACAUGCGUGGGAACAUGUAUAUGUUAAAUUCAUUAGCUCAGACACUGUGUAGCUGGGAAGAAUGAGAGGAAAUGCUGUCUCUGUUCCUACACGCAACAGUUCUUUUCUGGUGAGCAAAGUCAUUAUUGGACACCCACUGAGAUACACAGUGCAAAUAGCACUCAUGUCUAUUUUCACUGAAAAACCAUAGUUUAGUUCAGAUUCUUGGAGUUCUCACACUACUAAGACGCAUAAAACAUGGAAGAAAAGGUAGAUUUGAUAGGUUCUUCUGCAUCUAGGUUUCUUGGUGAAAUCAGAUUUGAACAGUCUUGUCACAGAGUGCAUGGAAUGGGAAGAAAAGAUCUCACAGCUGGCUGUGUCUAAUACAUUCUCUGCUACAUACUUUAUAUGUAAUCUACUGUUCACAUUUCAAGUACGUAGUUUCAUAAGUCUAUCAUAUUUGUAAAUCUGUAUUACUGUCAACAAUACCAAGGUAAACAAAUGAGUCCUUUUGUCUCUUUCCAGACAAUGUCCAACCCUUGUACUGGACUAUUGACUUCUCUUUAUUACUAUAUCUCUUAUUUACUGUUUUAUUUACUUUGUAUUUAAUGCUCAACCAAAUCUCUACUUAUAUACUACCAUAAAGGGAUAGUUUUCAGGUGCAGUUUAAAGUCCUUAAUAUUUUAAGUUUGAGCAAUUUUCAUAGGUAAAGAAGUGAACAUUUAGCAAGAAUUAGAGCUAUUCAAAGCCAGGAGACAUGUUCUUAUUAGUUUUUAGAGAGCAAAAUUGCAAG